Molecule: ribosomal RNA, 253 nt
Filed under: uncultured bacterium
Lineage: Bacteria
Description: partial 16S ribosomal RNA
Rfam family: Bacterial small subunit ribosomal RNA
Source: RNAcentral
UACGUAGGGUGCGAGCGUUAAUCGGAAUUACUGGGCGUAAAGCGUGCGCAGGCGGUUUUGUAAGCCAGAUGGGAAAACCCCGGGCUUAACCUGGGAAUGGCAUUUGGGACUGCAAGGCUGGAGUGUGGCAGAGGAGACUGGAAUUCCUGGUGUAGCAGUGAAAUGCGUAGAGAUCAGGAGGAACACCCGUGGCGAAGGCGGCACUCUGGGUCGCACCUGACGCUGAGACGCGAAAGCGUGGGGAGCGAACGGG